Molecule: ribosomal RNA, 513 nt
Filed under: uncultured bacterium
Lineage: Bacteria
Description: bacterial SSU rRNA
Rfam family: Bacterial small subunit ribosomal RNA
Source: RNAcentral
GAUCUGGUUCAGGAUGAACGCUAGCUACAGGCUUAACACAUGCAAGUCGAGGGGCAGCAUUAAGUUAGCUUGCUAACUUAGAUGGCGACCGGCGCACGGGUGAGUAACGCGUAUCCAACCUUCCCCUUACUCAGGGAUAGCCCGGUGAAAACCGGAUUAACACCUGAUAGUUUCACUAGAUGGCAUCUGACGGUGAAUAAAGGUUUACGGUAAGGGAUGGGGGAUGCGUCUGAUUAGCUUGUUGGCGGGGUAACGGCCCACCAAGGCAACGAUCAGUAGGGGUUCUGAGAGGAAGGUCCCCCACAUUGGAACUGAGACACGGUCCAAACUCCUACGGGAGGCAGCAGUGAGGAAUAUUGGUCAAUGGGCGAGAGCCUGAACCAGCCAAGUAGCGUGCAGGAUGACGGCCCUAUGGGUUGUAAACUGCUUUUGUACGGGAAUAAAGUCAUCCACGUGUGGGUGUUUGCAUGUACCGUAAGAAUAAGGACCGGCUAAUUCCGUGCCAGCCGCUGC